GAUGAACGCUGGCGGCGUGCCUAAUACAUGCAAGUCGAGCGCACGGACGAGAUGCUUGCUUCUCUUAUGUUAGCGGCGGACGGGUGAGUAACACGUGGAUAACCUACCUAUAAGACUGGGAUAACUUCUGGAAACCGGAGCUAAUACCGGAUAAUAUUUUUAACCGCAUGUUUCAAAAGUGAAAGACGCUCUUGCUGUCACUUAUAGAUGGAUCCGCUCUGCAUUAGCUAUUUGGUAAGGUAACGGCUUACCAAGGCAACGAUCCAUAGCCGACCUGAGAGGGGGAUCGGCCACACUGGAACGGGGACACGGUCCAGACUCCUACGGGAGGCAGCAGUAGGGAAUCUUCCGCAAUGAGCGAAGGCCUGACGGAGCAACGCCGCGUGAGGGAUGAAGGUCUUCGAAUCGUAAAACUCUGUUAUUAGGGAGGAAGAUAGGGGUAAGUAACUGUGCACAUCUUGACGGUACCUAAUCAGAAAGCCACGGCUAACUACGUG
This 497-nucleotide ribosomal RNA is filed under the name uncultured bacterium. RNAcentral's name for it is "partial 16S ribosomal RNA". It matches the Rfam family "Bacterial small subunit ribosomal RNA", at positions 28 to 507 of the family's 1533-position model. The record is from RNAcentral.